Molecule: ribosomal RNA, 442 nt
Filed under: uncultured bacterium
Lineage: Bacteria
Description: partial 16S ribosomal RNA
Rfam family: Bacterial small subunit ribosomal RNA
Source: RNAcentral
CCUACGGGCGGCAGCAGUGGGAAUUUUUGGUCAUUGAGGCAACUCUUACCCCGCCACGCCGCGUGAAUGAUUAAGGUCUUCGGAUUGUAAAGUUUUGUGAUGGGGGAUGAACACAAUUACGGUACCCCAAUAGCAAGCCACGGCUAACUACGUGCUAGCAACCGCGGUAAUACGUAGGUGGCAAGCGUUAGCCGGAAUGACUGGGCGGAAAGGGUUCGUAGGUGGUUUAGUAAGUUGGCGGUGUAAUUCCGGGGCUCAACCUCGGCGCUACCGGCAAAACUAUUAGACUAGAGUGCAGGAGGGGUAAGUGGAAUUCCUAGUGUAGCGGUGGAAUGCGUAGAUAUUAGGAGGAACAUCAGGGGCGAAGGCGACUUACUGGACUGUAACUGACACUGAGGCACGAAAGCGUGGGGAGCAAACAGGAUUAGAUACCCGAGUAGUC